This 550-nucleotide long non-coding RNA is filed under the name Sorghum bicolor (sorghum). Its description in RNAcentral is "long non-coding RNA (SBIC_LNC016501)". Lineage: Eukaryota; Viridiplantae; Streptophyta; Magnoliopsida; Poales; Poaceae. The record is from RNAcentral.
CUUAUUUUAGGACACUAAGCUUGUCCUUGGGAAACCAUCAAUUUAUGUCAGUGAAGUGGUUUCCCCUCCAACGCUGACCUAUAUCAAGAUCAACUCAACGAGAUCUGCAAAAUUUAUUAUAGACAUAUGCAUCGACAACCGCCCUUUUAAAAUUUUUAUAAAUAGAAAGGAAGAGGGGGUUGAAGAUCUCGAAUGUGGUGAUGUUGGAGAGACCAAUGGAUUGUGAAGAUGUUGCAUAUGAGCAUGGAGUAAAUGAAGUGGCUAUGAAAUAAAUUCCAUGCUCAUUAAUGCUUAGAGUGAAAUCCAUGUGGUAUGGUGAAAAUGAUAAGGUGAGUGUGAUAAAAAAGAAAAAGAAAAAGGAUACACGGACGACUUGGUUCGAAACUAGCACAGCUACCGUUCCCCGGCAACGGCGCCAGAAAGCUUGUUGGGUAUUUUAAACGCAAACAGAAAAAUCCGCAAGCGCACGGAUACCGAUGUAGCCUUCACCCGGGAGUAUUCCAGAGUAUCGAUUUUCUACAGGGAACGUGAGUGUACUAAUUAAGAAUCA